This 601-nucleotide ribosomal RNA is filed under the name uncultured bacterium. Its description in RNAcentral is "bacterial SSU rRNA". It matches the Rfam family "Bacterial small subunit ribosomal RNA", at positions 712 to 1325 of the family's 1533-position model. The record is from RNAcentral.
AUUGCGAAGGCAGCUCACUGUCGUGUCACUGACGCUGAGGCUCGAAGGUGCGGGUAUCGAACAGGAUUAGAUACCCUGGUAGUCCGCACGGUAAACGAUGGAUGCCCGCUGUUUGCGUGUUUCGUAAGCGGCCAAGCGAAAGCGUUAAGCAUCCCACCUGGGGAGUACGCCGGCAACGGUGAAACUCAAAGGAAUUGACGGGGGCCCGCACAAGCGGAGGAACAUGUGGUUUAAUUUGAUGAUACGCGAGGAACCUUACCCGGGCUUGAACUGCAGAGGAAAGAUCCAGAGAUGGUGAUGCCCUUCGGGGCCUCUGUGGAGGUGCUGCAUGGUUGUCGUCAGCUCGUGCCGUGAGGUGUCGGCUUAAGUGCCAUAACGAGCGCAACCCCUCUCUUCAGUUUCCAUCAGGUAGAGCUGGGCACUCUGGAGACACUGCCACCGCAAGGUGUGAGGAAGGUGGGGAUGACGUCAAAUCAGCACGUCCUGAACGGCCGGGGCUACACACCUGGACAAUGGGUGGUACAAAGAGUUGGCAGUGCGCAAGCCUGCCGAAUCACGAAAGCCAUCGUCAGUCGGAUUCGCUCUGCAACCACGCCAGAAG